AGAAGAAGAUCUAAAGGAUCUACAGAACUUUCUAGAAGAAAAUGGAGUGUGUGUUCGGAAUGGUCGGUAACGGUUUCUCACUGGUGGUAGCGGACUCCUCCGCCGUGCACAGUAUAUUGGUUCACAAAUCUAAUGAAGACAAAAUCAUGAUUCUCGAUUCGCAUAAACUUAUGGGAGCGAGUGGUGAAGCUGGAGACAGAGCCCAGUUUACGGAGUAUGUGCAGAAAAAUGUGGCUUUGUAUCAGUUUCGUAAUGGUAUUCCGUUGACUACAGCUGCUACGGCUAAUUUUACAAGAGGCGAGCUAGCUACAGCUUUGCGUAAGAAUCCAUACAUGGUGAACAUUAUCCUGGCUGGAUAUGACAAGGAGACAGGCCCUUCUCUAUAUUACAUUGAUUAUAUUGCUACUCUGCACAAGGUGGAUAAAGCAGCGUUUGGUUAUGGCUCCUAUUUCUCUCUUGCCAUGAUGGAUAGGCACUACCGAAAGGACAUGACAGUUGAAGAAGCUGUUGAUUUGGCAGAUAAGUGCAUCAUGGAGAUCCGAUCUAGGCUGGUUGUUGCCCCACCAAACUUUGUGAUUAAAAUUGUCGACAAGGAGGGAGCCAGGGAAUAUGCUUGGCGCGAGUCUGUCAAAGAUGCUCCCGUUUCCAACAUCUGAAGCUCUGUUUUUGUGUUAUGUUUACUCUUGAAGCUUAUGAAUCUUAUGUUCUGGGAAAAAAACUUUAGUCAUUGUAACUGCCCAAAAAUCUGACGCUACAAGUAUUCACUGUUUGAUCGAUACACCCGCUGUGUUCAAGAUUUUAGUUUUAAUUAUUUUCGAGUUUCA
This 824-nucleotide unclassified non-coding RNA is filed under the name Hevea brasiliensis (rubber tree). Lineage: Eukaryota; Viridiplantae; Streptophyta; Magnoliopsida; Malpighiales; Euphorbiaceae. The record is from RNAcentral.